GGAAGAGCCAUAGCUCAGUGGCAGAGCAUCUCAUUUGUACACAGAAACUCCAGGUACAAUCCCUGGUACCUCCA
Non-coding RNA from Podarcis lilfordi (Lilford's wall lizard), 74 nucleotides. The record is from the annotation of a GenBank genome assembly. Lineage: Eukaryota; Metazoa; Chordata; Lepidosauria; Squamata; Lacertidae.